This 639-nucleotide ribosomal RNA is filed under the name bacterium amp-w-81. RNAcentral's name for it is "bacterial SSU rRNA". It matches the Rfam family "Bacterial small subunit ribosomal RNA", at positions 52 to 693 of the family's 1533-position model. The record is from RNAcentral.
CACAUGCAGCCGAGCGAUAGAGAUCUUUCGGGAUCUUGAGAGCGGCGUACGGGUGCGGAACACGUGUGCAACCUGCCUUUAUCUGGGGGAUAGCCUUUCGAAAGGAAGAUUAAUACCCCAUAAUAUAUUAUAUGGCAUCAUUUAAUAUUGAAAACUCCGGUGGAUAGAGAUGGGCACGCGCAAGAUUAGAUAGUUGGUGAGGUAACGGCUCACCAAGUCAGUGAUCUUUAGGGGGCCUGAGAGGGUGAUCCCCCACACUGGUACUGAGACACGGACCAGACUCCUACGGGAGGCAGCAGUGAGGAAUAUUGGACAAUGGGUGAGAGCCUGAUCCAGCCAUCCCGCGUGAAGGACGACGGCCCUAUGGUUGUAAACUUCUUUUGUAUAGGGAUAAACCUUUCCACGUGUGGAAAGCUGAAGGUACUAUACGAAUAAGCACCGGCUAACUCCGUGCCAGCAGCCGCGGUAAUACGGAGGGUGCAAGCGUUAUCCGGAUUUAUUGGGUUUAAAGGGUCCGUAGCCGGGCUCGUAAGUCAGUGGUGAAAUCUCAUAGCUUAACUAUGAAACUGCCAUUGAUACUGCGAGCCUUGAGUAAGGUAGAGGUAGCUGGAAUAAGUAGUGUAGCGGUGAAAUGCAUAG